AACAACAACAACAACAACAACAUACCCAGUGAAAUCCCACUAGGUGGGGUCUGGGGAGGGUAAAGUGUACGCAGACCUUACCACUACCUCGUGGAGGUAGAGAGGCUGUUUCCGGAAGACCCUCAGCUCAAGUGUAACAAAGCCAAGUAAAGGAAGAGAAUUAUAUAAAGCAUAACAUCCAAUAAGAAAAAUAGUGCAUAAUCAACAAAGGGGGCAAUACAUCAAGAAAAUAAUGCGAGAAGUGAAACGCAGUAAACAACAUAAGGCAAUAGGGAUCACAUACAAGAACUACAAGUGUACGGCUAAGACUCCUACAAACGCUAACAACCCAUACCCUCGCCAGGAAAGACAGCACGCUAACCCUACUAGCCUUCAACCUUAAUACGUGACCUCCACUCCUUCCUAUCUAGAGUCAUGUCCUCGGUAAUGUGUAGCUGGGCCAAGUCCUGUCUAAUCACCUCUCCCCAAUACUUCUUGGGCCUACCUCUACCCCUCCGCGUACCCUCUACUACCAGCCCCUCGCACCUCCUCACUGGGGCGUCCGCGCCCCGUCUCUUCACAUGUCCAAACCAUCUCAGUCUCGCUUCCCUCAGCUUGUCCACCACNNN
Molecule: long non-coding RNA, 608 nt
Filed under: Solanum tuberosum (potato)
Lineage: Eukaryota; Viridiplantae; Streptophyta; Magnoliopsida; Solanales; Solanaceae
Description: long non-coding RNA (STUB_LNC011300)
Source: RNAcentral